GAUCUCCUUCAAGAAGAGGAAACUUGAACAUCUAAAAACUUCAUAAUGUUUAAAGAUGUGUCAAAACCCCAUUCCUCUUUAUCUGAUACUGUCGUUCAGCCCCACAUUUAGCAUGAUGCUUGGUAUGUAGUGGACCGUGAGUAAAUGCAUAUGGUUAGUGUUAAAAGCUUCAUGGAAGUCUGGAGCCUUUAUAGAACUCAUUCCAUUGGGCUCAAGGACAGACAUCUCUACAAACAUCACAGAAUGAAAAUCUAGUAGAUUAAUCAAUGCUAGAAAAAUAUUAAAUUGCUUGUAUCCAUUUUUCUUGUAUAAAUAGAAUAUAGCAACGGGUUAGCAUAUCUGUGAAAUUGUGAAAUCUAAUAAUCAUGUAGACUAUUAAAGAGUAGUUCACUGAAGAGAAUGUGGAAGUAAAUUUUUGUGAGCCUAUCUAGCAAAAUUCUGCAUCUUAACUUUGGGAAGUCUGAAUUUUGAGUGAAAAACUUUCUAAAAAGAAUUAGUAUUUUAAAGAAGAAUAUAAAGAAGUGUGUAGGGUAAUGAAUGUCCAUAUCUCAGAAAAGAUUGUAAAUAAUAUCAAUAGAUUUCCCAUUAUGACCAUUUUUCAACUUGAAGUGAUCAAUCAAAUGUAAUGUAAUGACUAGGGAAAUUGGUUUCCAUAUGGCAUGACUUUUGUGGGUAUGUAGGAUAUUUUCUAUUUGUCAUUCCAAAUCUCUUCUUCACUUUGUUUUAUGCCACAAAGGUUGAACUCUAUGACUCGCAUCAGUUUGAGUCCUUCUGGUCCAAGAUGGGGGGUGGCAAGAGAGAAGAGCCAGGAAAGUUACUCUUGUAGUUCCUCAGUGCUUCUCCUUAAUUUAUCCAUGACCGUUCUUCUGUAGGCCAUAGUUUCUGUUAGGCUUCCCUCCCAUGUUAUACCUACAGCUAUAACUAUUACCAGGGUGUGUUAACAGCUCCCCCCAUGUGCCCUUGUUGGCCCAUAGAUGAUAAGACUCCCUGAUUGCUACCUCUUGGUUUUCCUGUAGACCUCAGAUCUUGGCACAUAAUUUCCUUAUUAAAAUCUCCAUGAUAACCUCCUUUGAGUUUAUAAUAGAGGGCUAUUAACUUGAGAGAAAUACCUCAAAGCAUCAUGAAGUAAUUUGUAUUUCUGUAUUUUGUCUCAGUGAAUUCAUGCUAUAAGCAACCAUAGCCCCAAACCGUCUUGGCUUCUAAGGACUAAGCCUAUCAUUUUCCGCUGAGAUUUGCUAGAGUAAAAUUUUGCUGUUCAUGUAAGUUGCUUAUAAAAGGAUUUAACUUUAAGCCCUUUUGAAUGUCUUUAUAGAUUCCUUAGAGUUCUGAAAAAGAUCUUUGGAGGAUUUUCUUGGCUUUCCAUUUGUUUGUAUCAAAAUAAGAAUCAGAGAAACAACCCUUAAUUGCUCAGCCAUGGGGCAGUCAGGGCACAUUUCAACAUGUCUAGGAUCAGCUGUAGAAUCAGAAAGAAUAUCUCUGACAUGCCCUUUCUGCCUCAGUUGCCAUAAAAACUGUUUUUCCAUUCUAUUUAUCCUAAGACUCAGGGGCAGCAACACUGAGAGACAGUUCAAGAACAGUAAUACCUUUAAACUUUUUCUAGGACAGUUAGAGUUCAGAUUAUCAUUAGCACAUAGGAAUAUAUUGGCUGGAGGAUGAUAAAAGGGAGUUAGAGGAAGAAAAGACUUUGACCAAUUGAGUAGAUCAUAGAAUUCUUCAUAAAACAGAAGACAUCUGUGUUGCACCACUAAAGAUGUAUAUAUUAUUAUUAUUAUUACCAUUGUUAAUUUUAUGGUUAUUUUAUUUAUAAGAGGCAUUAUCAAGAGUACAACUGUAAACAAGGGAAUAAAUAUAAAUAAAUGCAAGAAGCAUUCGGGGGAUAAAAGUUGAGUCAACCAGUUGAAGUACAGACAUUUUAAAAGUCAAAAAUAUUUGCUAAGAUAGCCUGGAAUCAAGUUAAUAGGUAAAGUUACUGAAUAUUUUUGAGUCAGGAUGUGACAAGAACAUUGCUGAUACUGUGGGAGUUGACUCCGAAAGCCAGUGUUGAAGGAGGCAGAGGUAACGUGGGCCUGAAUUGGUCUAGCUGCAGUGAGAGGCUGAGUGGGAAGAAAGCAUCAAAUAAACAGGUUAUAAAAGAAUUAAUAAAAUUUAGGCCAAUGCAGAUGGUUUUAAUUUCAAUCUUCCGUAAUAAUUUAGUUAAGCCAUGUAGCCUUUUCAUUAAUAUGUUAAUUUGUUUUCAGUAUAGAUGAUUUUGCUUCUUUCCUAAACUGUUUUGUGAAAGUAAUAUUCUGAAACAAUUUCCAAAUAUGUUAAUUUGUUUUCAGUAUAGAUGAUUUUGCUUCUUUCCUAAACUGUUUUGUGAAAGUAAUAUUCUGAAACAAUUUCCAAAUUCCAUAGAUAUAGAAAGUCAACAAAAAAGUCAACAAAACAAACAUAAUUUGUUUUGCCUGAAAUCUUUGGCUGCUUUCAGGAAGAGUAUAAGCUAAUUAUGUUGGCCACACAAAUAUUGAUUAUUCCAUUGUGUGAUAGUAGCUGUGGUUACUAUAAGGCUUGCAAAGAGACAAAAAUUACAUCACUAAACUCAAAGGGGUGAUAAUGACUUCACCCUCUUUUAACCCUGUGAUGUACAUAUACUUACUACAUUAGGCUUUAUCGUUGAGGACACAGAAGCAAGCAAACUUAUAUAAUGAUUUUACAUAAGGAAAUCAAAAUUCUACCUCAAAGAAGAGGUAGAAGGGGUAUGUAUAUAUUUUGAGGGCAAGGAAGCCUAUAGUUUUGACUUUUUUAGUUCCCGAUUUAUACUGCAAUACCUAUUUAUAGAUUUUUGUAAAAUAAAGUAAUUCAUUUAUAAACUAACACCUAGUAAAACGACAUUGGAUUUAUUUUAAAUUUUAUUUUUUUGUUUUAAAUUUUAAUCAAAUACCUCUCCAAAAUCAGUAAAGAGCAGGUUGAAACUAGACUAAAACAUGAGACCUCAAUUUCAAACUUGUAGUGAUACUUAAUAUUCCAGCUACAACAUUAAAACUAAAUAGGAAAUUUAGAACAAAUCAACAUAUAUGUAUUAGAUUUCAUAGGGUCAGAUCUUAUACCUGUGAAUGCUUUCCUUUUCCUAAGAACUCUUCAUUUUAUACUUGUCAGAAGAACACUUAGUCUCCAAAAUAAAACAGUUCAUUAGCCUUGGGCUAAAGUCAUUAUCUCAAAUUUCAAAUUUCAAAUUUCUCAUCACCUGUCAUUACUCAAACCUUCCUGGAGAGUUCUGGCAAGUCUUGCUGAAACCACAUGACAAACUACCAGGACUGUAUUUAGUGCUUCCUGUAUCCUGGCAAGUGCUUCCUCUUUAUAAAAGUGGAUUUGGAAGACUUCCCAGAUGGUUCCUUUUUUUGCACUCUAAAGCUUGAAGGCUGUAUCAGACUGCUGGAUGAGGUGACAGAAUGUAUUCAUAGCAAGCUGAAUAUGUAUUCUCUCUGUCCUUCCCCUCUCUCCUCUCAGUGCUUAUAAGUCAUCUCGUUAGAUGAAUACUUUUGAGCAUCUCAUUUGUAAGAUAAAUCUGGAAUUUUACACAGUUGUUGAUUUGCUAAUGUAAGGCUCAGUAGAAGACUGGUGAGAAGCCAUAUUUAUUUUGAAAAUGAAUAGCUUUCCUUAUCUUUUUUCUGGGAAACAUUUGCAGAUAAUACCAUUUGCAUAAACAUUUGCAGAUAAACAUUUGCAGAUAAUAAAAUGUAGUUUCUCUUGACAGUGUAUCUACUAAAUGGAAAGACCCUUUAAUGGCAUCAUGUGUCUGAAUGACUAAGAUAUUUUUCAGAUAACAUGUUACUGGAUUAUUUAAAGCAACUUUUUAAGUAUUUUCCUUUUUUUUACUUUUAACAUAUCCAUUUCUUUUCUUUUUCUUUUUUUUUUUUUUCUUUUUGCCAUUGCUUGGGCCACUCACAUGGAGGUUUCCAGGCUAGGGGUCUAAUCAGAGCUUCAGCUGCUGGCCAAUGCCAGAGCCACAGCAAUGCGGGAUCCAAGCUGCGUCUGCAACCUACACCACAGCUCAUGGCAACACCGGAUCCUUAACCCACUGAGCAAGGCCAGGGAUCAAACCCGCAACCUCAUGGUUCCCAGUCAGAUUCGUUAACCACUGAGCCACAACGGGCACUCCCAUAUCUAUUUCUAAAUGGUGUAAUUCUAAGUCAUCUUAUAGUUUUUUUUGUCCUGAUGGGAGCAAUAAUUCAACCUUUUCUUUUAUCAAUAACAGAAUGUCACUAUGAAAGAAACCCAAUGAUUGUAGAUAUACUUUUAGAUAUAUUUGUUUAUUGCACAGUAAGAGAGCAGUGACUGGGCAUCAGUUUCUAUAUAUUCUAGGAGGGCUCAAUAGGGUAUAUGUGAGGCAUGGUAGUGAAGGAUAUAAUGUAGCACUAUACUUUG
This 4404-nucleotide long non-coding RNA is filed under the name Sus scrofa (pig). RNAcentral describes it as "lncRNA (ENSSSCG00000055640.1)". The record is from RNAcentral. Lineage: Eukaryota; Metazoa; Chordata; Mammalia; Artiodactyla; Suidae.